This 458-nucleotide ribosomal RNA is filed under the name uncultured bacterium. Its description in RNAcentral is "partial 16S ribosomal RNA". It matches the Rfam family "Bacterial small subunit ribosomal RNA", at positions 338 to 795 of the family's 1533-position model. The record is from RNAcentral.
CCUACGGGAGGCAGCAGUGAGGAAUAUUGGUCAAUGGGCGAGAGCCUGAACCAGCCAAGUCGCGUGAGGGAGUACUGCCCUAUGGGUUGUAAACCUCUUUUGUCGGGGAGCAAACGCAGGACGUGUCCGGCUGUGUGCGUACCCGAAGAAAAAGCAUCGGCUAACUCCGUGCCAGCAGCAGCGGUAAUACGGGGGAUGCGAGCGUUCUCCUGAUUUAUGGGGUGUAAAGGGUUCGCAGGCGGAUUUUUAAGUCAGCGGUCAAAUCGUGGGGCUCAACCCCAUCCAGCCGUUGAAACUGGGGAUCUAGAGUGUGCGAGAGGUAUGCGGAAUGCGUGGUGUAGCGGUGAAAUGCAUAGAUAUCACGCAGAACCCCGAUUGCGAAGGCAGCAUACCGGUGCACAACUGACGCUCAGGCACGAAAGCGUGGGUAUCGAACAGGAUUGGAUACCCCUGUAGUC